Molecule: microRNA precursor, 59 nt
Filed under: Strongyloides ratti
Lineage: Eukaryota; Metazoa; Nematoda; Chromadorea; Rhabditida; Strongyloididae
Description: microRNA str-mir-87b precursor
Gene: str-mir-87b
Source: miRBase by way of RNAcentral
CGUUAAACAUUGGCUCAACAUCUAAUUGAUAUAAUGUUGUUGAGCAAUGUUUUAAUGCA